CCUACGGGUGGCAGCAGUGGGGAAUAUUGGACAAUGGACCAAAAGUCUGAUCCAGCAAUUCUGUGUGCACGAUGAAGUUUUUCGGAAUGUAAAGUGCUUUCAGUUGGGAAGAAGUCAGUGACGGUACCAACAGAAGAAGCGACGGCUAAAUACGUGCCAGCAGCCGCGGUAAUACGUAUGUCGCAAGCGUUAUCCGGAUUUAUUGGGCGUAAAGCGCGUCUAGGCGGCUUAGUAAGUCUGAUGUGAAAAUGCGGGGCUCAACCCCGUAUUGCGUUGGAAACUGCUAAACUAGAGUACUGGAGAGGUAGGCGGAACUACAAGUGUAGAGGUGAAAUUCGUAGAUAUUUGUAGGAAUGCCGAUGGGGAAGCCAGCCUACUGGACAGAUACUGACGCUAAAGCGCGAAAGCGUGGGUAGCAAACAGGAUUAGAUACCCUUGUAGUC
This 443-nucleotide ribosomal RNA is filed under the name Escherichia coli. Its description in RNAcentral is "bacterial SSU rRNA". It matches the Rfam family "Bacterial small subunit ribosomal RNA", at positions 338 to 795 of the family's 1533-position model. The record is from RNAcentral. Lineage: Bacteria; Pseudomonadati; Pseudomonadota; Gammaproteobacteria; Enterobacterales; Enterobacteriaceae.